This 77-nucleotide transfer RNA is filed under the name Empedobacter falsenii. Its description in RNAcentral is "tRNA-Asn(att)". The record is from RNAcentral. Lineage: Bacteria; Pseudomonadati; Bacteroidota; Flavobacteriia; Flavobacteriales; Weeksellaceae.
AUAAUGUUAGGUUGAAAAUUCUUUAUUUAUUAAAUGAGGAAAAGCGUUUGUGCGUGUGCGAUUUGAGCGAUAUUUUG